GACGAACGCUGGCGGCGUGCCUAACACAUGCAAGUCGAGCGAAGUAUAUCUGAGGGAAAUUUUCGGAUGGAACUUAGAUAUAUCUUAGCGGCGGACGGGUGAGUAACGCGUGAGCAACCUGCCUUUCACAAAGGGAUAGCCUCGGGAAACUGGGAUUAAUACCAUAUAAAACUUGUCUUUCGCAUGAAAGAAAAGUCAAAGCGAAUAAGCGGUGAAAGAUGGGCUCGCGUCCUAUUAGCUAGUUGGUGGGGUAACGGCUCACCAAGGCGACGAUAGGUAGCCGGUCUGAGAGGGUGAACGGCCACACUGGAACUGAGACACGGUCCAGACUCCUACGGGAGGCAGCAGUGGGGAAUUUUGGACAAUGGGCGCAAGCCUGAUCCAGCCAUGCCGCGUGCAGGAAGAAGGCCUCGGUGUAACUGCUUAGUCUAGGAAAAGGGUAGGACGAGGUUAGUACCUACGUCGCUUGAUGGUACUGGAAGAAUAAGACACGGCUAACUACGUAGCCAGC
Molecule: ribosomal RNA, 511 nt
Filed under: uncultured bacterium
Lineage: Bacteria
Description: bacterial SSU rRNA
Rfam family: Bacterial small subunit ribosomal RNA
Source: RNAcentral